Molecule: ribosomal RNA, 145 nt
Filed under: uncultured Bacillota bacterium
Lineage: Bacteria; Bacillati; Bacillota
Description: uncultured Firmicutes bacterium partial 16S ribosomal RNA
Rfam family: Bacterial small subunit ribosomal RNA
Source: RNAcentral
AUUGCACAAUGGGCGAAAGCCUGAUGCAGCGACGCCGCGUGAGCGAAGAAGUAUUUCGGUAUGUAAAGCUCUAUCAGCAGGGAAGAUAAUGACGGUACCUGACUAAGAAGCACCGGCUAAAUACGUGCCAGCAGCCGCGGUAAUA